This 446-nucleotide ribosomal RNA is filed under the name uncultured bacterium. Its description in RNAcentral is "partial 16S ribosomal RNA". It matches the Rfam family "Bacterial small subunit ribosomal RNA", at positions 338 to 795 of the family's 1533-position model. The record is from RNAcentral.
CCUACGGGUGGCAGCAGUCGAGAAUCAUUCACAAUGGGGGAAACCCUGAUGGUGCGACGCCGCGUGGGGGAAUGAAGGUCUUCGGAUUGUAAACCCCUGUCAUGUGGGAGCAAAUUAAAAAGAUAGUACCACAAGAGGAAGAGACGGCUAACUCUGUGCCAGCAGCCGCGGUAAUACAGAGGUCUCAAGCGUUGUUCGGAAUCACUGGGCGUAAGGCGUGCGUAGGCUGUUUCGUAAGUCGUGUGUGAAAGGCGCGGGCUCAACCCGCGGACGGCACAUGAUACUGCGAGACUAGAGUAAUGGAGGGGGAAGCGGAAUUCUCGGUGUAGCAGUGAAAUGCGUAGAUAUCGAGAGGAACACUCGUGGCGAAGGCGGGUUCCUGGACAUUAACUGACGCUGAGGCACGAAGGCCAGGGGAGCGAAAGGGAUUAGAUACCCGUGUAGUC